This 465-nucleotide ribosomal RNA is filed under the name uncultured bacterium. RNAcentral's name for it is "partial 16S ribosomal RNA". It matches the Rfam family "Bacterial small subunit ribosomal RNA", at positions 28 to 507 of the family's 1533-position model. The record is from RNAcentral.
GAUGAACGCUGGCGGCGUGCUUAACACAUGCAAGUCGAACGGAAAGGCUCCUGCUUGCAGGGGUACUCGAGUGGCGAACGGGUGAGUAACACGUGGGUGAUCUGCCCUGCACUUCGGGAUAAGCCUGGGAAACUGGGUCUAAUACCGGAUAGGACGAUGGUUUGGAUGCCAUUGUGGAAAGUUUUUCGGUGUGGGAUGAGCUCGCGGGCUAUCAGCUUGUUGGUGGGGUAAUGGCCUACCAAGGCGUCGACGGGUAGCCGGCCUGAGAGGGUGUACGGCCACAUUGGGACUGAGAUACGGCCCAGACUCCUACGGGAGGCAGCAGUGGGGAAUAUUGCACAAUGGGCGCAAGCCUGAUGCAGCGACGCCGCGUGGGGGAUGACGGCCUUCGGGUUGUAAACUCCUUUCGCUAGGGACGAAGCGCAAGUGACGGUACCUGGAGAAGAAGCACCGGCUAACUACGUG